AGCCACGUAGUAAACACAAAGCGAACUAUUCUUUCGCCUUUUACUAAAGAAUACCGUGUGCUUGCUACUCAAUAGUGGUAUGUGUCUAUUUUUGGAGGGCUGAUCUCAUUAGAGCAC
Small nuclear RNA from Hevea brasiliensis (rubber tree), 117 nucleotides. RefSeq annotates it as U5 spliceosomal RNA. The record is from RefSeq and is a predicted model, not a curated record. NCBI's taxonomy places the organism in Eukaryota, Viridiplantae, Streptophyta, Magnoliopsida, Malpighiales, Euphorbiaceae. The transcript has a single exon.